ACACUAGAGCACAUGAGAAUCUGCCCACAAAAGCACACGUGUGCAUCCAUUCAGCCGUCGCAUCCUCCGCAGCACGAUGUUUGCGAGUGCGUGAGCUCAUUCAAAGAGGGUAACUUGUGUCUUUAGGUGUCUAAAUCUGCUGCCCCCCCCCAACAUACACGCACAUCAGCGACUCCUCCCACUCCUCCGAACCCCACAUCCACCCACGUCGACAGCAGGACGGCGAAUCCAUUCAGCGCUCAAACCAGAGCUUCGCCCCUGACGUGGACACAAGCAGGCGAAGACGCUGCUUUUGGUUCUCAUGUGGCUUGAAGGAUUAUAAUGCAGUGAUUUUUUACAGGAAACAGCCCUACCGAAGGUUUCUGUAGGAGACCAAGCACUUUCAGUGGGUGUCUGUCUUGCGUGUGUGUGCGUACCGGUUGUUUUUUCUGAGCCGUUGGACUGACGCACGAAUACUGCAGCAGAACUGCAGGGGCCUGGACGCUAACUUGGAGGACAUGAGGACCCAGUGGAUCCCCCACCCCUGAGCUCCAGACCCCACUGCUGCUGCACAUUCUGCUGAGCUGAGUAGAGCUCCCAGAGGCCAAUAGGAUGCUGACAGCUCGCGAUGGAGCUCGAGAUGAAGCUCAGAAGCUGCACAGGAAAUGGAUGAAGCACCAGGCCUUCAUGGCCGAACUGGCCCGUAACAAAGAAUGGCUCGCCAAGAUCGAACAGGAGGGCGAGGAGAGCUGAUCCAGGAAACAGCCCGAGAGUUGCGAUCAGGGUG
Long non-coding RNA from Cyprinus carpio (common carp), 766 nucleotides. RefSeq lists it as uncharacterized. The transcript is spliced from 3 exons. NCBI's taxonomy places the organism in Eukaryota, Metazoa, Chordata, Actinopteri, Cypriniformes, Cyprinidae. The record is from RefSeq and is a predicted model, not a curated record.